Molecule: transfer RNA, 68 nt
Filed under: bovine gut metagenome
Rfam family: tRNA
About the family: Transfer RNA (tRNA) molecules are approximately 80 nucleotides in length.
Source: RNAcentral
CCCGUAGCUCAGCUGGAUAGAGCAUCAGAUUUCUAAUCUGGUGGUCACAGGUUCGAAUCCUGUCGGGU